GGACAGAUGGCCGAGAUGGUUAUGGCGCCAGGUUAAGGUUAUACCUUAAUACAUGUGAUAUAUCAUCAUAUAGUUUCCUGGUCACGAAAGUGGCGUGGGUUCGAGUCCCACUCUGUUCAU
This 120-nucleotide transfer RNA is filed under the name Pseudogymnoascus verrucosus. Its description in RNAcentral is "partial tRNA-Leu". It matches the Rfam family "tRNA". Rfam says of the family: Transfer RNA (tRNA) molecules are approximately 80 nucleotides in length. Lineage: Eukaryota; Fungi; Ascomycota; Leotiomycetes; Thelebolales; Thelebolaceae. The record is from RNAcentral.